Molecule: long non-coding RNA, 341 nt
Organism: Limulus polyphemus (Atlantic horseshoe crab)
Lineage: Eukaryota; Metazoa; Arthropoda; Merostomata; Xiphosura; Limulidae
Exons: 2
Source: RefSeq, a predicted model, not a curated record
ACAUAUAAAAGUGUUCGGUUAAUAUUUUUAUGAAGGUCAUCGAAAAUAGACAAAGCAUAUGCUUGGAUUGGAGAAGUAUGGAAAUGCCCAAAGUGGCCAACCUUCAUUGUAGCCCCUUGUCCCAAUGGCGAACUUCCAGGCUCGAGCUGUCAAACUAACAGAGAGUGUUUGAUUUUUGGGAGACUCUGUUGCAUGGACUGGAGGGAUUGUAACUAUAAGUGUACAAGAGUUUUCUAAAUUUCAGUAACUUCCUGAUCCCUGGGUUGUUUGCUUUGAUUCAAUUUAUUUCUCUGAAACUAUCUAUAGCAAAAAGUUAAUAAAAUAAAUCUUUAUUAAACUGA